Molecule: ribosomal RNA, 328 nt
Filed under: Flavobacterium sp. A45
Lineage: Bacteria; Pseudomonadati; Bacteroidota; Flavobacteriia; Flavobacteriales; Flavobacteriaceae
Description: bacterial SSU rRNA
Rfam family: Bacterial small subunit ribosomal RNA
Source: RNAcentral
UAUACGAUGAAGAGUUUGAUCCUGGCUCAGGAUGAACGCUAGCGGCAGGCUUAACACAUGCAAGUCGAGGGGUAUAGUUCUUCGGGACUAGAGACCGGCGCACGGGUGCGUAACGCGUAUGCAAUCUACCUUUUACAGAGGGAUAGCCCAGAGAAAUUUGGAUUAAUACCUCAUAGUAUAGUACAAUCGCAUGAUUGAACUAUUAAAGUCACAACGGUAAAAGAUGAGCAUGCGUCCCAUUAGCUAGUUGGUAAGGUAACGGCUUACCAAGGCUACGAUGGGUAGGGGUCCUGAGAGGGAGAUCCCCCACACUGGUACUGAGACACGG